This is a long non-coding RNA of Prunus persica (peach), 992 nucleotides long. RefSeq lists it as uncharacterized. The transcript has 2 exons. The record is from RefSeq and is a predicted model, not a curated record. NCBI's taxonomy places the organism in Eukaryota, Viridiplantae, Streptophyta, Magnoliopsida, Rosales, Rosaceae.
UUAUCACUAAUCAUUUUUGCCCCUGUGGUUUUCAAUUUAAGCAAUUCAAGUCCAAUCUCCAAUUUCUGUCAAAUUAGGUUAACUGUUGUUAUUUGUAGAGGGGCAUUUAAGUCCAAAAAUAAGAGAGAGAGAGAGAGAGAGAGAGAGAGAGCAAAAGAUAGGGGAAGAGAAGCUGUCAGCCACACAACCAGCUCACACGCCAACCACCACUCUUCGCCAUCUCCUCAACCCGAAUAUCACAACAACAAGAAAGUAUGUGAAGAGUGGUUUUCUCGUAUUUAUGAGCCAAUGAUGAAUGCUGGAUUAGCUCUCCAAUGCCAUGAUGCUACAAUUCAGUAUUGUGCUCUGCGUUUAUAGGAGGUGAGGAAUCUUGUGGCUUCAGCUUUGAAUGAAAAGUCUAGGUCACAAGUAACUGAGAACCUCCAUAAUAUCAGGGCCAGAUUUUCGAGGUGGUGGAGUUUACUGGGUUGGGGAGAUUGGGGCGUGUGUGGUGGUUGGCGUGUUGGCUGGCGUGGGUGGUUGUGGCUGACGGCUUCUCUUCCCCUUAUCUCUCUUUCUUUUCUUUUUUUUUUUUAAAAUUUAAAUUUAAUAUAAAUAUAAAUUUUUCUUGUUUUUGGACUUUGUUGGUACCGUAACUGAUCGAGCAACUAGCUAGGUCAAAUCAUCCAUGUGCCAUGCCUUGAGAGGCAUCACCUUAGUCAAAGAAGAAUUACCACAAGUCACAACUUUAAGCAAAGCAAGAGGAGUCCCACAUCGGAAAACUACAAGAGAUGGAGACUCCUCCUCACCUAUAAAAGAAGACCACUCUUCACUUAGAAAAGGGUCUUGGAUCUAGACCCUUAGACCUUGGACUCUCUUUCCCAGGACUGGGCUUGGCUUCUCACUUGUUAUCUUUAUAUUUGGGUAUAAUCUUCUUGUACAAAUGUAAACAAACAUUAUCAUAAUGAGAACAUCCUUCUCCGUGGACGUAGCCCAUUAUUUGGGUGAACCGC